This 495-nucleotide ribosomal RNA is filed under the name uncultured bacterium. RNAcentral's name for it is "partial 16S ribosomal RNA". It matches the Rfam family "Bacterial small subunit ribosomal RNA", at positions 28 to 507 of the family's 1533-position model. The record is from RNAcentral.
GAUGAACGCUGGCGGCGUGCCUAAUACAUGCAAGUAGAACGCUGAAGGAGGAGCUUGCUUCUCCGGAUGAGUUGCGAACGGGUGAGUAACGCGUAGGUAACCUGCCUGGUAGCGGGGGAUAACUAUUGGAAACGAUAGCUAAUACCGCAUAACAGUAGAUGUUGCAUGACAUUUGCUUAAAAGGUGCAAUUGCAUCACUACCAGAUGGACCUGCGUUGUAUUAGCUAGUUGGUGAGGUAACGGCUCACCAAGGCGACGAUACAUAGCCGACCUGAGAGGGUGAUCGGCCACACUGGGACUGAGACACGGCCCAGACUCCUACGGGAGGCAGCAGUAGGGAAUCUUCGGCAAUGGACGGAAGUCUGACCGAGCAACGCCGCGGGAGUGAAGAAGGUUUUCGGAUCGUAAAGCUCUGUUGUAAGAGAAGAACGAGUGUGAGAGUGGAAAGUUCACACUGUGACGGUAUCUUACCAGAAAGGGACGGCUAACUACGUG